This is a long non-coding RNA of Lycium ferocissimum, 470 nucleotides long. RefSeq lists it as uncharacterized. The transcript has 3 exons. Lineage: Eukaryota; Viridiplantae; Streptophyta; Magnoliopsida; Solanales; Solanaceae. The record is from RefSeq and is a predicted model, not a curated record.
AGGAUGAGAUCAGCACAACUGCAUACUGUUAAUCUUACAGAAAAUGACUUGGUCAAAGAACACUUGAGAUAUUUGAUGGGUGGUAGAUCAAAUCUUCACGAUGAGCUUUUUUGUCCAUUCACUUUCCCCGAGAAGGCUGGCGCUUUAUGGAAGUUUUUAGAUGCUUUCAGCCCGCGUUGGAAUGUAACUUUGAUCCAUUAUCGUGCAUAGGGACAAAUUGGUGCAAAUGUUUUAGUUGGCAUACUAGUUCCACAGGACGAGUUUGAAUUCCAGGGCCGCGCUGGCAGACUCGGUUAUGAGUACGUUAUGGAGAGUCUCAAUGAUGCUUUCAAGCUUAUAAUAUAUUGAUGAAAACUUUGGCCUUUCGAAAUUCGUCGUACAAAUAAUAUCUUUGGGAAGAAUAUUGGUUAUGGAUGCAAGGCACAGUAAGAUCUACCAUAUUAUAUUGAUGUAAAACCUAAAAUGUUUCC